Long non-coding RNA from Gopherus evgoodei (Goodes thornscrub tortoise), 1515 nucleotides. RefSeq lists it as uncharacterized. The record is from RefSeq and is a predicted model, not a curated record. The transcript is spliced from 4 exons. NCBI's taxonomy places the organism in Eukaryota, Metazoa, Chordata, Testudines, Testudinidae.
UAUAGUCCCCAUAUUUAGUAAACCAGCGGAUUAGAGAGAAGAUUGCUUUUUUCCCCACUUUUUAACAAAUAAAGGUGAAAAGGAAACCUGAAGACCCAUGGCCUUUAUUUAGGCAUAGGUGUUUUAAUAACAUGUAAGUGUGCAAAAACAGUUUAGCGUUAUAAAACUAAUGUGUUGUAACAAAAAAAGGUGUUUUUUUUUUAAUUUUAGGCUAACCCGGGCCAUUUUAUAGUAAAAACAGCAGGCUCUUGCAGCAGCUCUUAGCAAAAACAGUCUCUGUAAGUCAGUAAAUUAAAAAUAAACAGAACAAAACAUAACAAGGUCUUCUUUUAAAGCAAAAGAACGCCAAAAACAGGUAUUAAGAAGCAUACUAAUUUGCUAUCAAAACUAAGCUUUUUAACCAUUAAAGUUUAAAAGCUAAAGUGUGUAGCCAAAAACCUUCCCGCGUUUUUAAAAAAAACCAACUAAGACAACUCCCCCUCCGCUCUUAGCUAAACAGCCAGAGCCUUCGGCUUUUUUUUAACCCUGUAACAAAAGCUAAAUACCGUUUAAAAAUAUGUUUUAAAGAAAUACAUAAUUUUUUUAACUUACUAACAAUGUAAAAUAAGUUGUGUAAAAGUUUAACGUGGUUUAUUUUUAAAUUAGCAGUUUUGUUUUAAAAACUAAGGCCAUAAAACAAAUUAAAGAAAUACAGGUUGCAGUUUUUAAAAAGUUUUUGGUUACAAGGGUGUAAAUGGGUACAUUACCAUUUAAAAAAGGCUUUUUAUUAACUGUUUAAACACAUUUACUAUACAAAAUAACAUUUUUAGCCAUUAAAGCUAAAGUAUGUAGGCACUCCCCAACCCACACCCGCCUUUUUUCCUAGAAAAGUGCCCUUUACACACCCUGUUUUUUUAAAGAAACGUCUUUUUAAAUAUUAAUUUUGGGGAGUGGAGGGCAAAACAUUUUUUUUAAUUAGAGGUUUAAACCUAUAAAUAGAGGAACAAAAAACUGAACAAGACUGUUAAAGAAAUAUUGCUAAUACAAGACUUUUACCGUUAUGGGGAGCAACAACAUGGACGAGGCCUUUUUUCUUGACAUUCCAGAUGCCGCGCUACAAGCUUUAAACUUUGAACAAGAUGGAAGUCAAAACCACCCAAUAGUUUUCCUGAAAUUACAGAAGAAGACUCAUCAAGCGUUAUUCCUCAAGAAGAAAUGUUGAAGGCGAGCGCGUUUAAAGAGGCCAAGAAAUUUCCCUUUGAGGCAGCUGCAGUUGGAAGCAAGGGUAUUAAGCACAGCGAUUUUGAAGAGCCCUGCGCGUCCAAAUCCCUUAUUGCACAAAACCAGCCGGCACUAAAAAAGGCCAAAAAGUCUACCUCUAAAACAGCAUUCGUUUUCAGGGAGGGGGGAAAGGGGCUCAGACCCCCCCCAGCUUUUGAACCACCCAAAGCUACCUCUACAACUUCCAGGAACCAUGGUAAGCGAGGCAGAGGAGUUAAAGCCCCUAGUUUUCAACAGACCUUUGUCUCCCCGACC